This is a small nucleolar RNA of Fukomys damarensis (Damara mole-rat), 81 nucleotides long. Its record names the gene SNORD24. It matches the Rfam family "Small nucleolar RNA SNORD24". From Rfam's summary of the family: U24 is a member of the C/D class of snoRNA which contain the C (UGAUGA) and D (CUGA) box motifs. C/D box snoRNAs have been shown to act as methylation guides for a number of RNA targets. NCBI's taxonomy places the organism in Eukaryota, Metazoa, Chordata, Mammalia, Rodentia, Bathyergidae. The record is from Ensembl.
UGCCACAAUGAUGACAUUUAUUUGCUACUCUUGACUGUAAGAAUGACGAUAAUCUUAACCACCAUUAUUCUAACUGAGGCA